Molecule: long non-coding RNA, 11142 nt
Organism: Equus asinus (donkey)
Lineage: Eukaryota; Metazoa; Chordata; Mammalia; Perissodactyla; Equidae
Source: Ensembl
UGCACCUAGAAAGCAUGUGUUGGCCUUUGCAGUCUUCAGUGGGGUGGCCUCUACCCAUCCCAAUCUCUGGUUUUUAUGACCCUUCCUAAGUACUCGACGAGUGUUUACGUUGAAAAGACCUGGUGUCUAAGCAGGUCUGAGUUGACUGGAUGGCAGAGAACAAGAAGGGUGAUGGGAGACAUUGGUCCAAGGCCACUGAAGGUGCAAGUGGGACCCACAAAAGAUGGACCAGUGGAACUCCGAUGGCCAUCAGCUGAUGAAUGGGUCUGCCUGAGCCAUGAAGACUGUCUGUGUACUUUGUAUGGCUUCUGCUGACGUCAGCCCUUCAGGUCGCACCUGGCACAAGAAGGUCACUUCCUGCGUGGAUUUCUCCCAUCCCCAGCUUGAGAGCAGAGGAGGUAGUGGGUUGCCAAAUGUCUGCCAAAAGUUCCUGUCCACCUGAGCCUCGGACUGUGAUCUUAUUUGGAAACAGAGUCUUUGCACAUGUGAUUAAAGACCUGAAGAUGAUGAGCUCAUCCUGGAUUUCGGGUAGGGCCUCAGUUGAAUGACUGUUGUCCUUGUAAGAAAAGGAGAGGACACAGAGACAUGGAGGGGAGAAGAUCAUUUGAAAGACAGGGGCAGAGCUCGUAGAGCUGCUGCUGCAAACCAAGGAGGCAGGAACCGCCAUGAGCUGCAGAAGGUGGCCUCAAACCCUGUCAGCUGCUCCUGCGCUGUGACCUCACUCAGCUCUGCUUCCCAGAACUCCAGGUCUGGCAGGAAACAAGCAGGAAAAGGACCUGCAAGUUCAUGGACCAGGAUCCCGGGAGGAGUCCAAUCCAGGACUUGCCUGUUCUCACAGUAGGGUUGAAAUAGUUCCUCAUCCAGGAAGGUGUCCUCGAUGUCAGCCCCUCCUCCCACCCACCAAUGUGAUGGGAUCCCCAGCUGCCUGUAUCUAACUCUCGCAAUAAAGAUAAGACCCAAGGGAUGAGGCCAGAGAAAGUCUUGCAGGGGAGGUCUCUGAUUUCCACAGCCCCACCCUCCCCACAUCGAGGGCACGGCUGCUCACCUCACUCCAUUUCUGGAAGUUCACCAUAUUUCCCUCGAAGGCAGACAGCCAAUGUCCAUCAGAAACAGCCCCCUUGGCCCAUGACUAGCCCCCAGCCCACCCCUUCCCAAGUUGCAGGACUGCCAGGACCCAGCAGAGGGCAGACACUGCCUCAAGGAGAGCCUGAACCUGGGCCAGGCUCUGGGCUCCAGCGCAGGGGGGGCAGGGUCACUGAGGCCACAGACUCUGUAGCUCCAACCUCUCUGAUGACAGACAGGGAGACUGAGCCCUCAGAAAGGAAGGGACAGCUGGACCACGGAUGUGCUUCCUGACUUGCAGGGGCUGACUUCACUCCCCCAGGGGCAGGGCUUGAGGGAGAGGCUGAGUCCAGCUCUGACACCACCUCCCGCAGCUCUGUAGUGAGGCAGCUCUGAGCUCCCCCAGCCCAGGGAGCCUGGAGGGGGGCUUAUGCAGAGCCUUGGGUCUCACAUUGCUAAGAUGUGCCUGAGGCCCCAGCUCCAGGGGCUGCCAGGAGGUUCUCAGGAGAGGAGCUUUGCCAAGUGCUGAGAGCUCAGGGCCCAGUGCAGGGCUCUCGCCUCCCAAACCUCUGGAUCCUCUUCCCUGUUCCCCUCUCCAUGCUCACACUCCUUCAGAUAAUCCUCCAUCUCAGUGUCCAGCAGCUGCAGGUAAUCGAGGAGUGAGCCCAGGAAGGGGACGACACCCUGAGCCAUCAGGGUGGGAAUGGUGAUGAGUCCCGGCUUUCAUGUGCCCCCAUGGGACCCUCCCCCCAAAACCCUCACCCCAGCCUCCUGCCCACCCCGGACUCCCACAUAGAGCAGCCCAGGACCCUCAGCAGUCUCCCCCAGGAGCCCCCUCCAGGAACACCAAUCUCCCCUGUCACCUCCCAGGCUUGGCUUUAUGCAGAUCCCAGGGAAUGUGGUCCCUGCUCCUCCCCACCCCAAGUCCCUCCUGGGCCAGCCCUGCCAGGCCUCCUCCUGCUCACUUCUAAUGCAGCCGGUUCAGGCUCUGCAUGGCCAGGAGCUGGGCUGGAGGAGGAGGGACCCCUCUCUUGGUGGAGGCCUCCAGCUGUGAGGGUGGAGCACCCUCUCCUCGAACACAUGGACCCCUCCUCCCCACCACAGGCACCCUCACCUGCCACUGCUGCCUCUCCUGGGCUAUCCAGGGAUCCAUCUCCAGGGUCUCCCACAGAGAGGUCGCUUCCUGCAGCGUCAAGGACAAGGUCAGGGAGGCCAUGCUCCCUUCCGCAUGUGUCCCAGGCCCUUGAUCUUGGACCCUGGACAUCUCGUGUGUGUGGCUGCUCCGUUUUCCAGAUGCUCUGAUUCUCGAUCAGUCCCAGCUCCAACACUUGCUCCUCUGUGGCCUUGGGCCUGCCCAGGCCCCUCAGCCUCUCUCCUCAUCUGGAAAGGGUGAGGAGAACUCCACCUGCCUCCCAGGGCCUCCUGAGGACUCAGUGUCAUCUGACUGUCAUCACUGCUCUCCCCUCACCCCUCGAGGAGGAGGCGGCACACAGCUCCUGCACAUUCCUCUCCUCCCUUGAACCUCAUCCCCCGUUUGUGGGGCUUGAACCACAGAUCACCUCCCUCCACGUCCCACAUGGGGAGACCGAGGCUCACAGAGGGGCUUGACUUGCUCAGAGGCCCACAGAGGAGAGACCCCUUCCCCUCCCAGCCAGAGGCCCUGUCCAUCUGCCUUCACCCCACCUACAGACACACCUCUGAACAUGGUCAUGUCCUCUGGACUCUCAGGGUGUGAGCAGACCCUCAGCCAGGCUGAGCCAUGGAUGACAAGGGGCAGGGUGUCUCAGAGGGCCUGUCCAAGUGGCAUCUACCUGUCCCAGCCCCCUGGGAUUCUCUGACCCCAGGCUAUACCUGAGGCGAUGCCAAAGGCCUCAGCUCCCUAGGAUCCCUCAGGACGUUCCCCUGAACACAACUCUCUUUUCAUCCACUCAGGAAGGUGACCCCUAGUGCCACAUCUGAGUGACAGUUACGGGGUGACCAGGGCACUGGUUGAUGGUGACAUUUGCUUCCUUUUUGUUCUUGGAAACUUCUAACAUCCAGUCAGGAAGGUCCACGAAGAAUCUAUUGGAUCCCCUGAUACUCUCAUUGCCAUCUGGGGCAUGUGCCCUGCCAACAAGGCAGCAGGUGAGAACCCCACUGGGUAUGUCAGCAGUGACCACUAUCAGGGCACAGUGGGGAGUCCCAGAGAGCACACAGUUCUGUCCCAGGUCCACCAUUCAUCCCAUGCUGGGCAGCCCUCAUGUCCACCUGGCCCAUGGGACCACGCAGUGCCCACCUCAGGGGCUGGCAGGGUGCCCUGUCCUUGGACGUGCAGCAAAGACAGAAGGAGCAGCAGGGGCCUGGCUUCCUGAGGACAGACGGGGCUGCUUUAGGAAGAAAAGAAUACCCACCCCCUCCAUCCACCCACAGCCUGGAGAGAGUCAAGUGCCAGCUGAUGGACCCACAUGGGAGCCAGAGACCUGCACAUCCCGCUGGCUCCUCUCCCUCCUGGACAGUCCAGCCAACACCCCUGGGCCCCAUGACCAAGGCCUCCUGUCCCUAACUGCCCCCACCCGUCCACGCAGCUAACACCUCUCUUCCUGUCAAUCAGAACAAUAUAGACGGUUAUUCCUCAGAGAAACUUUAAGGGAAAAACUCAGCAAAGCACAUCCUGCCUGCUCCCUCCUCCCCUCACCCCUCCCCUCCUUCCAGAUCUGCAGCCUCCACUCACCUCCAUGAGCAGCUUCCUGCUCACCCGCUGGUCCUUGGUGCACAAUUUUGUAAAAUUUUUGAGAGCUCUUCCCGAGGGGGGAAAAGGAAUGAAAACCUGUGCAGUGGUUUAAGGGUAAAUCCUGUGUCUUCGAAAACCCAGAAUAUCCAAACAUCCUGGAUGAGCGUUUUCCCUGGGUCCUCUGAGCCCUGGGGUCUCCACGGGACUGGGGAGGGGGCUCUCCCGGUGUCACCUGGGCCUCCAUUCCUGUAACUCCUCAGCAGAUGUGUUUUCAACAGUCGUGGUUUCAGCCGGACGGAGAGUUCUGUUGCUGCAAAGCAAAUACUUGAAAAUCUUCAAUUUGCCUCAACCCAGGACCUGACGUUCAGGGACACUGAUUCCUGAAGCAGAAGCCCCCGGCCUAAGUUUCCAGAGAGACUCAGAGUCCGCCAGCCAGGUGAGUCUCUGUCACCAGGGUUUGCUGUCUCCCAGGUGGUGCCAGCUUACUGAGGGGGCAAUGCCAGCACUAUGGGGGGUGUCUGGUCUUCCAAGGUGAUGCUCACAUGAAGAGAGGCCUACCCACCUGGAAACGUGUCCCCAUGUCUUUUUGAGCCGAUGGAUCGUGCAGCUCUGCAGAGCAGAGAGGAUGGCAUGCAGUGAAGCAAAGUUCCUCAGGCCUUGGCACUCCUGGGGCAGGGAAGAGAGUGAGCUGGUGAGGAGAGCUGGAGCCCUGCUGCCUCUGGCUUCUGUUCCCUCAUGGACAUCUCCUGUCUUGGAUGAGACGCAUGCUGAGGAACCCAGUGAGGGCACCCCUGGGACCUGAUGAGUAGCAUUCCCAGGUUGGAGAAUUUGAGCUCAACCCAAGGAGGGAGCCCAGGAAGAAGUGAGCUUCCCACGCUGGGAACAGGAGUCAAGGUCAGUGAGGCCCCGGCAGGAGGGGCCUGGGGACUGUGCAAGGGCUCAGAGCACAGACUUCAAUCCUGAGAGCUGAGGAAGGAGAAGGGGCAGUUUCCAUGACUCCAGAGAGGGGCUCCCUGGGCCGCCCAGAAGGUACCUUGGACACCUGGAUCCAGAGCUCCACCACCCUGGCCCUGUCCUGGGCUGUCAUGCUCAGGUCCCCCAGGCAGGUGGUGACAACACAGUUGACCACUGUGAUAAACUGGGUGAUGGUGGCACGGAUGGUGCAUGCCAGGUGCUCAUUGCCCCUGCUGUCCCAUGGGGACCAGACGGAGUCCAGACAGUGGGGGGGAUCACUUUCUUGAACAGCUCCUGGGGAGGAAGAGAGUGUCACCCAGCCCUGUCACAUGCCUGCUCCAUGUCCACAGUCCACAGUCCCAGGCAGAGUCAGUGGUCAGAGCUGGAGCUCAGGAAGCUGAGGAUGUGGCCUGGGGCUUGUGGGGGUCCCUGGGUUUUGUCUGUGCCCACUGAGGGCACCCAGCACAGGAUGACCCAGGACCAAUAGUGCGGGGAAGGAAAGUGGCAUUCGCUCCCAGCCCAGUCUCACUACUCCAGGCACCAGAACCCCGCUGAUACUUGACGAACGCAAGGGGCAUCGUCUACCUUUUCUGAUCACCCUGGGGCCCGACUCCUCAUUCAGAUGUGCAGUCCUCCCAAGGAGUAACAAUCACAAUCUUUGUAUGUUUGUCUCCCAGGUAGUCAUUACAUAUGAGGUCCCUAAUAAUUGCUAAGGCUGUUGAUGCCUCCUGUGCAAAUGGAUGACCCACCCAAGGACCUGACAGCCCUUCAGUGACCUCCCCUUCCCCCGCCAAAGGGCCAGACUCUGCCCACCUUCCUCUCUGUUCCGCCUCAUUCGUCUGCACAGCCGCUAUGCCUGGCAGAUGCUCUUUUGUCCAUGUCUAGUGUCCACAUGCGGACAGCACAGGCUUGGGAGUUAAGAGGUUGCCCAGGGCACAUGUGUGUAAGUGGGAAAGCUGGGAUUGAAUGUAGGACAUGGGAUUCUGGAUCAGGAAACAGCAGGUCUUGGGCCUCUGAUGGCACAGGGAAGGCCCGCCCCACCUGCCCUGAGAGCCCUGCUGCUCACCGCAUCCAUCAGUGUAAAUUGCUCUGCAAUCAGCUGGGGACGGAACUCCAGGAAGUCAGGCUUCUCCUCCCACAGCAGGCUCUUGGUGGUCACAGCCCGGGGGCAGGUGGGCUCUUGGGCUGGAUGGGCUCUGAUGUAAUCUCUCCAGAUGGAGGAAGUGUUCUCCCUGGAGACAAGGGUCCAGCGGGCUCCAGCUGGAUCUGGCACUGGGGCUGGAGCUGUUGUUGGCAUGGCUCUGGCCCUGGGGGGACUGAUGGAGGUGACACUUGCUCCAGCUCUAGCACAGGUGGUAGAACUAGAAUUGGAGUUGGCCCAGGCCAUGGAGCUGGCCCUUGCUCUGGCUCUGGAGCUGGUGGGAGCUCUGGAGAUGGUCCUGGAGCAGCAUAAAGAAAAAGUAUCAUCAAGUAGAUGACCUCCCCUGAGUCUUUCCAAAGACAGGAAGGACCCCAAUGCCUUAAGGGAACCCAGCCCGUGAACCCCCUGCAAAUCGUCUUCCCACACUGCAGGGCCCUCACCUUCCAGCUCUGCCUCCACGGGCUCUGGAGGACUCCAGCUGGACUGGGAGGAGGGAGGCGUGGCCCUCCUGCUCUGAGGUAGGCGAGCUCACGUGCACACGGGCCAGCUUCAUCUGCGAAGAGACGGCAAUGGGGGAAGGCAUUGGGCAACAGAGUCAGAGGCCUGGUCUUUCCCUCCACACUGCCCACUGAAGGCGCCCUUAUUUGGUCUGGGCCCCUGUGCCCGCCCAUUCCCAUCCAGAGGAGAGCCCCGGCCCAGUCCCGCCCCUGUGUGGCUGUCCUGGUGGUGGCAGGACUGCUCAACCAGCAAGUUGAACACAGAGUCAGUGUGAGUCUGUUCUUCCCACUGACACUCUCUUCCUGAAGGGCUUGGACAAAGCCCACCCCAGCCCUCCAUGCAUUUAUGCAACUGGACUGAGGACUGAGGCAGACGUGUGACCAUGUUGCUCACACACCUCCUGUUCUGGGCCUGCUGGGGGUGGUCCGAAGAAGUGGAUGUGGAGAAGGGGAGGCAGAUCAAGAUAGGACUAUGGUGGGGAUGGGUCUCUAGGGGACAGCCCAGCCCAGCCUCCACUCUGGUUCCCAGGGGUCCUGGGACCCAUCUACAGGUCUUUGAAUCCUGACCUCCUGGAAUGGAAGCCAUCAGACCUCAGCCUUCCAGUGAGAAUCAAAACAUGUGUGAGAUGCAGGGUUUUGCCAGCCUGGCCCCAGCCACAGUCCCCCAUUUCCCCCAACCCUGUUCUGUAGAGACAGGGCGCCCUCCUUCUGGACCCAGAGGCCACUCAUUUUAUUCCGGCAUCCUGUGGUCUGCCCUCCUGGUUUUGAUAAUGGAAGAUGCCUCCAGAUGUAAAGGAGGUGACGAGAGCACCAUUUGGGAUGUGCGAUGGAUGACAGGACUUGCGAAUGAUGUCUAAUGUGACUAUUUGACUCUCAGACUACAACUGAGACGCAGGGAUUGUAUCUGUUGGACACCUGGAUUCACUGAGUUAUGCUAAGUGUCUCCAAAAAUCCUGCACAUAGUAGGUGCUUCACAUACAUGGUUGAAUGAAUGAAGUCCAGCCAGAAGCAUCCCAGAUGUCGGAGUGGGCCUGGGGCCCCUCUGCUCCCCAGACAUCCCUAAUUGGCCCCACCAAGCACAAGGACCAGGACCAUCUCUCUGGAAUCUCAAACUCCUUGACAGGGUGCUGUCCGUGUGCUUUGCCAAACUCAGAAAGACCACAUCCCAGAGACGGGUGAGACAGACUACUUUCCAUGAGGAAGAACCAAUAAUAACCAUGAACAACCACAGCUCACCCCACAGCCACAUCUGCAGAGCCAGGCACCAGGUCAGCACCCGCCAUGGCUGAUCCCAUUAGUCCCUCCAAGAACCCCAUGACGUUUAUCCUCUCCCACCCCACUUUUCAGAGGAGCAAAGUGAGGCUCAGGGAGAUGCAGUGACAUUACAAGAAUUACAGCUGGCAGUGGGCAGUCACCCAGUAAACAGCUGGUCCAGGACCUGGUGGGAUGUGUUGAAGGCCGAGUAGUUGAACACAAAGGUGGUGACAUUUGAGAUGUUUCUACCUAGGAAAGCUGGUGCCAUGGACUUUGUCAGUCUCCAUCAGGUCUGCUGGAGGGACCGCCACCUGCAGGCCUCAUUUAAAUUCACAAAGGGGUCAUCUUCACUCUGGGUGGAAGGAGGAGGGACACACAAAAAAUCAGUGGCAUCACCGUGAACCACUAGGAGGAUGGAGGUUACUUUCUUUCUGCCUAUGUAGCUGGUGGGGAGGAGGGGAGGUCGUGAUUCCUUUGGGAGUGGGACUGUGGGACACUCUAGUGAGAAAACACUGGGAGCAUCUCAGGGGAGUCUCAGAUUUGGGUCUGGAUUCUGGUACUGCCUCGGUCAUCUCAGGGUCCUGGGUGUGAAGACCCCUCUGCACUAAGCCCGGCCCGGGUCAUUGUUGGUGGCCUGGAGCACCCGCCCCCUGUCCAGGGAGACGGCAUAGUCGAAACCAUUCACUAACUAUGUGACCAUCUUGUGGGUGCAGCUCUGCAAACACAGUGCCUGGGAGAAAGACCAGGAGGGAUCAGGGGCCUGCCUGGACCUCACCAGGGGGAACCCGCACCACAGAUCAGGCUCAGAGGGGCACCUGCAUAGACCUCCAGCCAGGGCUGGAAUGUGAUGACACCUGGUGGGCUUGGGAUUCACAUAGGGAUAAAGGAGCUCGGUCCCCAGCACUCAACUUCCUACCCUGCCAGCCAAGAUGUGGGGUAUGAAGAUGACCCAUUGCCAGACUUCCAACAUCUCACUACCUGCUCCUACCCGGGAUGUGUCCCUCCUCAUCCCCACCUUUCCUAAGUGCACCUCCCAAACACACACACACACCUUGAGCAUCAAGGGGUGUGGGGCUGGCCAGGUGGGAGCACAGUUGUGACCUGACCUGGAGCGGCCUGCCCUGGGUUGCCCUGUGUUGCCUGAGGGUUCCUCCUGCCAAAAGGCCAGAGGUGUUAGAGGUGAGAGUUGAAUCAAUGUCUACAAAGGCUCUCGUCAGAUUUCUAGAAGCCAGAGCUUCGGAAAGUUGGGACACAACAUGCAAACAUCUUGUUCUCUUGAGUGCCUCCAUUCAAGUGAGCUGGAUGUGAGGCUGUGUCUAGAAUGUGGGUGCCUGGUAACCAAAGUUCUAAGUUCUGUUGGGGUCUGUCACCAAAGAAGUGAGGCCACUUCUCAAGGUUCCAUUAUCUGGGCCCCUUCCUUCAAUCAGACCCACCCAAAGCCUCCUCUGGGCUGUUGACUGCUCAUCGCCCUUGCCCAUGUCAUCUCCAUAAUUGUACACAAAUAUCCAUCACUGCCCUCCCCACAGCGCUCUGGGAAUGGGACCAGGGCCCUAGCUUUGAGGAGACACAGCUGAGUUCAGACCUCUUUUUUCCUACCAAUUCUGAGUCCUGGAAAAGCCAUUUGUGCCUCUCAUGGCCUCCCCAGUCUCCCAACCUGCACAGUGGAGAUGGUGCUAAAACCAAUUUCCUAGGCACAUCAUCAGGUGUGUAUGUGACAAUACCUAUAACUUCUGUGGGUUAGAGUCACAUGUGUCUGAUACAGAAACUUAGAGAUGGAAGAUGGAAGAUUGGGACAGUCACUGCCCCCCUGGGCCUCAUUUUCAGGUCUGCACUUUUCAGGGGUUGAAAUUAGAAGAAAUUCAUAUAUUGUGAUCCACUGGCAAAAGUUUCCCAUGGUCUCCUGUUUUACUUAGAAUCAGACCCAAGUGCCUCAUGUCGGCCUGUGUGUGGGGCAGCCUCCACAAUGGCUCCCAGUGCUCCCUGCCUCCUGGAGUGCACGUCCUUAUGUGACAGCUAAGUGGUUAGUAACUGGCUUCUGAUCAACAGAAUGCCCCAAGGUGAUGGGAUGUCACUUCCAAGUUUUAAUUACGAAGAGCCUGUCACUUCCUUCUUACAGGCAUUCUUGGGUUCCCUCCUCCUCUCCUGUUUGCAGCUCUCUCUCUGUCUUAUCUCUGGAACUGAGAGAGCAAGCACCGAUGCUUUCAGUUGCCCUGUGUAGAGGCUCCAUAGGAGAGAACUGAGGGGGUGCCCAGCCAACAGACAGGCAGGAACUCAGACUCUCAGUCCAGAUGAAUCCUGACAACACCCAUGUCAGCGAUCUUGGGUGGGAGUCCUCCCCCAGUUGAGCCCUGUUGAGACUGCAGCCCCUGCUUCAUAGAGAAUUUGAAGCUGAGGCACCCAGCUAAGCUCUGCCUGAUGCCUGGCCCACAGAAAGUGCAGGAUGUUAACUGUUUGUUCCUUAUGGGUGGAAGGUUUUGGAGCAAUGUUGUCAUAGAGGAACAGAAACUAACACAGUCCACCAUGUCCCACGAUCUGGCCCUCUCACCCUCCUCUCUCUUCUCAGGCUCCCUCCAGCCACACCUGCCACCUUUCUGACCUCCUCUGGUCAAACUCACUUCUUCCUGUGAAUCUCUGCACCAGGGGUACCUUCUCCCUGACAUGCUAACUGUUCCCAGAUAUAGGCAAGGGUGGCUUACACUUGUCAUUCUGGCUACAGCAAAUAAUCACCUCAGUGAGGCCUUUCAGAACCUCCCAGCACAGUCUCACAUCCAGAGGUGCAUGACAUUAUUUCUUUUGUCUUGAUCACAUUUAGAUAAAGUUGAGUCCAUGAGGAAGGGCUGUCUGCUUUGUCUGAAGCAGAUGCAAAUCCUGGUUACACCAGGCACCCAGGUUGAAACACCACCAGAUCCUGAAUUCAGUUACUGCUGAGAUCCUCCCAGCAAUUUGGUAAUUCAGUGGUUCUCCUGAGGUCACCUUUCCCCUGAGACCCAACUCCCAGCCAGCCCUUGGCUAAUUAGAUGAACAAUGAGAUUUUCUCAGAGUCCUCCCAGCCAGGACAAGAAAUGUUUUGAAAUGUUCUCUGUAUUAACUUUUAGGAAGUGGGGAUGCUGGCAGAAGUAAUUUGGGUGUGUAUGUACAAUAGUUUCUCUAUAGGUAUUAUUCAGACAAAAUAGUGUGGCUAUGGGAUAUAUCAAGAAAAUGGAUAAAUUGAUCCAAUUUUUUCAUGAUGUGAAGUCUUUAGAGAUUAAAUAUCAUGGUUAAGAGCAUAGAAUAUGAGCCGACAUCUUAUGUUCAAACUCCAACUCAAUCGCUUACUGGUUAUUUGUAUUGAUCAAGUUACUUACCUUGUUGGUACCUCAGUUUCUUCAUCUGUCAGUUGACAGUAAUGAUAAGCGUACCUACUUUGUAAGGCCAUGGGGAGUACUAAAGGAGUUAAUGUUUGAAAAAUGCCUGUAACACCUAGCAUUUACAGCACUGUAUCUAUAUAUUAUGAAUAAAAUUUAAAAAUUGUUUUGACACUGUAA